Molecule: ribosomal RNA, 306 nt
Filed under: uncultured bacterium
Lineage: Bacteria
Description: partial 16S ribosomal RNA
Rfam family: Bacterial small subunit ribosomal RNA
Source: RNAcentral
GACAGCAGCAGCCGCGGUAAUACAGAGGGUGCGAGCGUUAAUCGGAUUUACUGGGCGUAAAGCGUGCGUAGGCGGCUUUUUAAGUCGGAUGUGAAAUCCCUGAGCUUAACUUAGGAAUUGCAUUCGAUACUGGGAAGCUAGAGUAUGGGAGAGGAUGGUAGAAUUCCAGGUGUAGCGGUGAAAUGCGUAGAGAUCUGGAGGAAUACCGAUGGCGAAGGCAGCCAUCUGGCCUAAUACUGACGCUGAGGUACGAAAGCAUGGGGAGCAAACAGGAUUAGAUACCCCUGUAGUCCCUGUCUCUUAUAC